CCUGCAUCGAAAGGCAUAAGAAUGGUUGAAGAUGUAAACACCUCUCCAGCGCAUUGGUUGGAGGAUACCAUAAAAAAAGAUGAAAAGUGAAUUGUACUGGUUGAAGAGAUUGUGCUGUGUCAGCGGAAUUUCAAAGUCAAAGCACGCAAGUCACUUUUAACUGCCUGGCACAGAAAAUGGAGUGAAAUCUCUCUUGUUUCCUCCAGCUCUCCCGGUUAUGGGGCUGACAUCACCGAGAGAUGAGAGAGAAGCUUUUGUGGCACCGUUUCAAGAGCCGAGCACCUUUGACUUAGUCACAAAGGUAAUAACGACACAAGAACUGUUAAAAACGAACCGAGCUGGCUGGAACUGGAAUUACAACAGAGUAACUUCUUGCUGUGCCCAGGGGGGAUUGCUGAGCUAACAAGCACUGGCAGCUGGAUCAGGAAUGGGUGCGAGGACGUCUGUGACAGCUGAGAACGGCUUCACGAACAUGAGAUCGAACAUGGCCAGUGGACAGGACGGCAAGGUGAAAAUCUUUUUUACCUCCUUGCCAAUCCCUUCCCUCUGCUCAUGAUUGGCUGGUCAGGAUGGCACGGAAUGUUCUGCUUACCACCAGCUUUGGAAGGAUCAGUUUCUUGUUUUAUUUCCCCCCUUAUAUGCAUCUGGGCGAAGGGCUAGAGUUCUACUUGCUGUCAGGCUGGCGGCAAAGCCAUAAAAAAUUUCACUUCACUUUCAGCCCACACCCUGUGCCAUCCCCUCCCCCCCCAUCACAACCCCUUUUUCUCCCCUCCUGUGGUCAAUUACUAGCAGACAUCUGUGUCCUGAGUCCAUGUUGCACACGUACAUAAGACACAUAAA
Hippopotamus amphibius kiboko is the source of this 840-nucleotide long non-coding RNA. RefSeq lists it as uncharacterized. The record is from RefSeq and is a predicted model, not a curated record. The transcript is spliced from 3 exons. Lineage: Eukaryota; Metazoa; Chordata; Mammalia; Artiodactyla; Hippopotamidae.